GCCGGGGUGGCGGAAUUGGUAGACGCAGGGGACUUAAAAUCCCCCGGGCCUAAAACCCGUGCCGGUUCGAGUCCGGCCCUCGGCACCA
Molecule: transfer RNA, 88 nt
Filed under: bacterium
Lineage: Bacteria
Description: tRNA-Leu
Rfam family: tRNA
About the family: Transfer RNA (tRNA) molecules are approximately 80 nucleotides in length.
Source: RNAcentral